GGCUAGAGAGGCGAGAAACGAGAGGCGAGCCGGGGGGCGGGGCCUCCUGUCCAGCCGGUAACGGACCGGGCAGAGGAGGGGCUCGGCCGCCGCGCCCAGGUCGGCCGCGCUCCGGGAAGAGGCCGGCCCGGUCGCCUUUCCUUCCUUAACUCCGUUUCCGUUCUAUUCUCCGUUAGGAGGGACAGGGUGAACUUUGGUUUAUUAGGCCCCGGGCUUCCAGCCGCGAGCGCCCCAGGUCAAUAGUCAAGGACGAUUAUUCUGACUCAAUCUGUCAACAAUACAGUUAACACAAGCUUUGAGAAGAAAAGCAUCAUAGUUUUGAAGUGGUGAUAGCUCUCUAAACAGCCAAAGGAGAGUCUCAGCUGCUUCCUGCGAAUCCCGCAUCACUUUUGUCUUACUGAAAGGAGCCUUCCCAUAGGUCCUGAGUCUUCUGCCGUUCCAC
Hippopotamus amphibius kiboko is the source of this 442-nucleotide long non-coding RNA. RefSeq lists it as uncharacterized. The record is from RefSeq and is a predicted model, not a curated record. The transcript is spliced from 3 exons. Lineage: Eukaryota; Metazoa; Chordata; Mammalia; Artiodactyla; Hippopotamidae.